GGUAUAGACCCGAAACCCGGUGAUCUAGCCAUGGGCAGGUUGAAGGUUGGGUAACACUAACUGGAGGACCGAACCGACUAAUGUUGAAAAAUUAGCGGAUGACUUGUGGCUGGGGGUGAAAGGCCAAUCAAACCGGGAGAUAGCUGGUUCUCCCCGAAAUCUAUUUAGGUAGAGCCUUGAGCGGACACCUUCGGGGGUAGAGCACUGUUUCGGCUAGGGGUCCAUCCCGGAUUACCAACCCGAUGCAAACUGCGAAUACCGAAGAGUGAUACUCAGGAGACACACGGCGGGUGCUAACGUUCGUCGUGGAGAGGGAAACAACCCAGACCGCCAGCUAAGGUCCCGAAGUCUAUAUUAAGUGGGAAACGAAGUGGGAAGGCUUAGACAGCUAGGAUGUUGGCUUAGAAGCAGCCAUCAUUUAAAGAAAGCGUAAUAGCUCACUAGUCGAGUCGGCCUGCGCGGAAGAUGUAACGGGGCUCAAAUAUAGCACCGAAGCUGCGGCAUCAGAAUUUAUUCUGUUGGGUAGGGGAGCGUUGUGUAAGCGGAUGAAGGUGGCUCGAGAGGGUUGCUGGACGUAUCACAAGUGCGAAUGCUGACAUAAGUAACGAUAAAACGAGUGAAAAACUCGUUCGCCGGAAGACCAAGGGUUCCUGUCCAACGUUAAUCGGGGCAGGGUGAGUCGGCCCCUAAGGCGAGGCUGAAAAGCGUAGUCGAUGGGAAACGGGUUAAUAUUCCCGUACUUGGAUAAACUGCGAUGUGGGGACGGAGAAGGUUAGGUUAGCAGACUGUUGGAUGUCUGUUUAAGGUGGUAGGUGGAAGACUUAGGCAAAUCCGGGUCUUUAUAAACACUGAGAGCUGAUGACGAGGUCUUAAGGGACUGAAGUAACUGAUACCCUGCUUCCAGGAAAAGCCACUAAGCUUCAGGUUUAUCUAAACCGUACUGAAAACCGACACAGGUGGUCAGGUAGAGAAUACUCAGGCGCUUGAGAGAACUCGGGUGAAGGAACUAGGCAAAAUAGCACCGUAACUUCGGGAGAAGGUGCGCUUACAGUAAUUGUAGUCCCUCGCGGAUGAAGGUGAAGUAAGUCGAAGAUACCAGCUGGCUGCAACUGUUUAUUAAAAACACAGCACUCUGCAAACACGAAAGUGGACGUAUAGGGUGUGAUGCCUGCCCGGUGCUGGAAGGUUAAUUGAUGGUGUUAUCGAAAGAGAAGCUCCUGAUCGAAGCCCCAGUAAACGGCGGCCGUAACUAUAACGGUCCUAAGGUAGCGAAAUUCCUUGUCGGGUAAGUUCCGACCUGCACGAAUGGCAUAAUGAUGGCCAGGCUGUCUCCACCCGAGACUCAGUGAAAUUGAAAUCGCCGUGAAGAUGCGGUGUACCCGCGGCUAGACGGAAAGACCCCGUGAACCUUUACUAUAGCUUGACACUGAACAUUGAAUUUUGAUGUGUAGGAUAGGUGGGAGCCUUUGAAGCAGUGACGCCAGUCAUUGUGGAGGCGACCUUGAAAUACCACCCUUUAACGUUUGAUGUUCUAACGAAGUGCCUGAAACGGGUACUCGGACAGUGUCUGGUGGGUAGUUUGACUGGGGCGGUCUCCUCCCAAAGCGUAACGGAGGAGCACGAAGGUUUGCUAAUGACGGUCGGACAUCGUCAGGUUAGUGCAAUGGUAUAAGCAAGCUUAACUGCGAGACAGACAAGUCGAGCAGGUGCGAAAGCAGGUCAUAGUGAUCCGGUGGUUCUGAAUGGAAGGGCCAUCGCUCAACGGAUAAAAGGUACUCCGGGGAUAACAGGCUGAUACCGCCCAAGAGUUCAUAUCGACGGCGGUGUUUGGCACCUCGAUGUCGGCUCAUCACAUCCUGGGGCUGAAGUAGGUCCCAAGGGUAUGGCUGUUCGCCAUUUAAAGUGGUACGCGAGCUGGGUUUAGAACGUCGUGAGACAGUUCGGUCCCUAUCUGCCGUGGGCGUUGGAUGAUUGAUUGGGGCUGCUCCUAGUACGAGAGGACCGGAGUGGACGCAUCACUGGUGUUCCAGUUGUCUCGCCAGAGGCAUUGCUGGGUAGCUAAAUGCGGAAGAGAUAAGUGCUGAAAGCAUCUAAGCACGAAACUUGCCAAGAGAUGAGUCAUCCCUGACUUUAAGUCAGUAAGGGUUGUUGUAGACUACGACGUAGAUAGGUUGGGUGUGUAAGUGUAGUGAUACAUUGAGCUAACCAAUACUAAUUGCCCGAGAGGCUUAACCAUACAACGCUCAAG
This 2248-nucleotide ribosomal RNA is filed under the name Pasteurella multocida. RNAcentral describes it as "partial 23S ribosomal RNA". It matches the Rfam family "Bacterial large subunit ribosomal RNA", at positions 706 to 2925 of the family's 2925-position model. Lineage: Bacteria; Pseudomonadati; Pseudomonadota; Gammaproteobacteria; Pasteurellales; Pasteurellaceae. The record is from RNAcentral.